AUGUACCAAAAAAUAAUAAAAGUGUGUGUGUGUGUGUGUGUGUGUGUGUGUGUGUGUGUAUACACACACUUUUAUUAUUUUUUGGUAUAUUU
Molecule: non-coding RNA, 92 nt
Organism: Podarcis lilfordi (Lilford's wall lizard)
Lineage: Eukaryota; Metazoa; Chordata; Lepidosauria; Squamata; Lacertidae
Source: the annotation of a GenBank genome assembly